UGGGGAAUAUUGGACAAUGGGCGAAAGCCUGAUCCAGCCAUGCCGCGUGUGUGAAGAAGGUCUUCGGAUUGUAAAGCACUUUAAGUUGGGAGGAAGGGCAUUAACCUAAUACGUUAGUGUUUUGACGUUACCGACAGAAUAAGCACCGGCUAACUCUGUGCCAGCAGCCGCGGUAAUACAGAGGGUGCAAGCGUUAAUCGGAAUUACUGGGCGUAAAGCGCGCGUAGGUGGUUUGUUAAGUUGGAUGUGAAAUCCCCGGGCUCAACCUGGGAACUGCAUUCAAAACUGACUGACUAGAGUAUGGUAGAGGGUGGUGGAAUUUCCUGUGUAGCGGUGAAAUGCGUAGAUAUAGGAAGGAACACCAGUGGCGAAGGCGACCACCUGGACCAAUACUGACACUGAGGUGCGAAAGCGUGGGGAGCAAACA
RNAcentral lists this ribosomal RNA (427 nucleotides) under uncultured bacterium. RNAcentral's name for it is "partial 16S ribosomal RNA". It matches the Rfam family "Bacterial small subunit ribosomal RNA", at positions 355 to 774 of the family's 1533-position model. The record is from RNAcentral.